UAGAGGAAUCAAAUCUCACUGUUACCGGGUAAGUUGCUGUCAUGUUUGGUAAAUGUAUUCACCUAUUGGCCAUUUCAUAACGAUGCAAAUGUUUAGAAAAUAGUGAAAUGUGGUAAAACUUGAGAACAAAAUUGUGUAAAGGUCAACUUUACUCAUGUCUAGUAAGAAUGAAUGCUUUGUAAGUCAUUCUCAGGGGGAAAUAAUCUCCGGUGCACCUAUUUAAGGAUGUAGAAUUCAACUGGAGUUGAAAGUAGCUUCAGACAGCAGGAUUGGGUCUUAUUUCUGAUUGGCUAACAGCAACACGGCUCUACCCCUAAUUCCAUUUGCUUUGCAACGUUGAUGUUUUAUCUGCACAAAUAACUCAAGCCUGGAGGAGUUCUGCUGUGUGGUGGAGUUGCUAAUGCUAACAGCUUCUAAGUCGAGACGUUCUCUGUUGUUUCCUGGAUGCUAAAACAACAACAGCCUUCCCGUCGCGAGUCAAGUUGGGUGAGUCCAUAAGCGAUUUUCUGAUGCAGGAAAUAGGGGUAGAAGAUUAUUUUUACAUUCAGCCUGCAUAAAUAAUGAGUAAAGAAUGGUGUCUCAGUGAACUUGCUCUUUAAAUUUUUUGUCAUGAUUAUAAUGAGGAAAUAAAUCUCAGUAUUAUUUUAAUGUGCUUAAAACAGUAAAACCAUCAGCAUUGCUGGGUUAGUUGUUGUAAGUGGGAAUUAGUAGUUUUCAUCAUUUCAUUUUUUUUGCAAAUUUAUUAGAGUAGAUUGUAGAGUUUUCAAUCACUUUGAAACAUUACGAGCUGUUUUAACUUUUAAAGCACAAAAGCUAGAGACUUUUAUUUUGAAGGUUUUUUUCUGGCAGUUGGACUAGUGAAACUAUACGGCUUCAUAAUGAAGCAGCUUUAUAAAGCACAUAUAUGCUCACAACCUUAUAAAAGUAGAAGGAAUUUAACCAGCAACCCGCAAAUAAGACUGAUUAAAAUUCUUCAUUUUAAGAGCAACAACAGGCUAAAAAGUUGUUAGCUGUAACCUUUCAAGCAGACAGCAGAUCCACACUUUUCUCUUUACAUCAUCCAUCUUUCUUUUUUCCACAUCUUUUUUUAAAUGGGUAAAAGGGUUUAAUAUUGAAUAAUUUUACACAAAACCUUAUUUUCUUCUUCUUAUUAUUAUUAUUAAAGCCAUAAAGCCAAACAUGUGCUGCAACAGGACUAAUCAGCUUCACCUCUAAGAGUUCAGUUUAACAGAAAGAGAAAGGAGACGUGAGUCAUGAUGAGUAUUAAUCAAAUAUUUUCAAGUUGCGGCGUCUCGGAGUGUUGUGUCAACAUUUCCAUUUAAACUUUGUCUCUGCUAAACAGGAGCAGACCCAAGCAUGUGUCCCUUUGUGUGUUUUAUAGUUGGGAUCGCACCAGUUGUUCACAGCUGUUCGUCUGAUCGGAGAACUUCAAAUAGGCAAUUAGAGCAUCAUGAGCAACAAUGACAGAAGCUUCUCACCAGCUCUGUCUAACUGGACUGAUGGAUGCAAAGUUGCAUUUAAUGAUAUGAAGCAACAGAUCAGAGUACAAUAACUUGCCGCGUGCGUGCAUAAGAUGCUGCAAAAUCGUUCUGCUGGACACCAACAUCAGCAAAGUGGACAUUGUUCUUUACCACUCUGAUAAGCACGACGCCCACUGUAAACUUCCUCCAUACUGUAAACACCAGUCAAGCUGCAACAAAAAGUGUUGAUGUGAGGAGAUCUUUCAAUGAGGCGUGUCCACAAAAUGUGCUCCGACACACAAACGCCUGCUGCUAAAAAAACAUCCUCGAUGACAACAGCACAAAGCCCUGAGAGCUUUCUCCAACCAGUAACGAGCAACCGCUGCAGCCCUGCCUGCCCACGCUGCAUUAUUGACCCAGUCAGUUGAUGCAAGUUUAUCUGAGAAGCAACUGCUGUGCCCACAUGAAGAACAAGCAGCAGCUCUUUCCUCCUCAGAUACGAAUGAAACCGCACAACAGCAGGAAACCAAACAACGUCCUCCCCAAAUCCAGUCCAGCUCCGUACUCACCUCUCCAGGUGUGAAAGAGGACCAGGAGGAGUCCAGCCAGCAGAGAGGC
Nothobranchius furzeri (turquoise killifish) is the source of this 2078-nucleotide non-coding RNA. NCBI's taxonomy places the organism in Eukaryota, Metazoa, Chordata, Actinopteri, Cyprinodontiformes, Nothobranchiidae. The record is from RefSeq and is a predicted model, not a curated record.